RNAcentral lists this microRNA precursor (103 nucleotides) under Marmota monax (woodchuck). Lineage: Eukaryota; Metazoa; Chordata; Mammalia; Rodentia; Sciuridae. The record is from RNAcentral.
AGUGCGAUAACUGGGUCAAAUGGUGGUUCCAUUCUAAGUACUCCACAGAAUCUCCAUACUGUUUUCCAGAGUAGUUGCACCAAUUUGCAGUCCCACCAGAUAU